AGAGUUUGAUCAUGGCUCAGGACGAACGCUGGCGGCGUGCUUAACACAUGCAAGUCACGGGGGUCCGCAAGGACAACCGGCGAACGGGUGCGUAACACGUGAGGGACCUACCUGAAAAUGGGGGAUAGCCGGCCCAACGGCCGGGUAAUACCGCAUACGCUCUUUGGGCGGCAUCGCUUGAAGAGGAAACCUCCGGGGUUUUCAGCGGGCCUCGCGGCCUAUCAGCUAGUUGGCGGGGUAACGGCCCACCAAGGCGACGACGGGUAGCUGGUCUGAGAGGAUGGCCAGCCACAUUGGGACUGAGAGACGGCCCAGACUCCUACGGGAGGCAGCAGUGGGGAAUCUUGCGCAAUGGCCGAAAGGCUGACGCAGCGACGCCGCGUGUGGGAGGAAGCUCUUCGGGGUGUAAACCACUGUUGCCCGGGACGAACGAGCGAUUUAGAUCGCUGUGACGGUACCGGGUGAGGAAGCACCGGCUAACUCUGUGCCAGCCGCCGCGGUAAUAC
RNAcentral lists this ribosomal RNA (506 nucleotides) under uncultured bacterium. RNAcentral describes it as "bacterial SSU rRNA". It matches the Rfam family "Bacterial small subunit ribosomal RNA", at positions 8 to 526 of the family's 1533-position model. The record is from RNAcentral.